UUUGUCUUGCCGUGUCUAGAUGAGAAGUUCUGACAUUUUCUUACGAGAAUACAAUCAUCUGUUUUUUAAAUAUUUAAAUUAAUUCUAAUAUUCGAUGUGUCAAGUGUUGCCUGCCAUUACAUUUAUAUACAAACUCCAACAGAAAGUAAAAAAACCCAACUAAAACGUUCUUACGCACGGAGAACUAGGGACGACUGCAAUAAUUAAGUAACUAAAUGCUAUCACACCUUCCUAAAUGCGUUCCUAAUGGGGUUGGCAACUGUCAAAGUGGCGCUGGUGUGCAUUGUUCCCAUAACAUUCAAUAUUUGUAUUGGAAUUUUUGAUUAAAAAUUAUUUUAAGCACAAUGACGCGUUGUUUUGUGCCAAUAUGCUCAGAAAUUGGAGUACAUCAAUUCCUGAAGGACAAGAAAAUUGGAAGACUGUGAUUAAAGGCCAUUUGACGCGAAAAAAGUACUCCCACAAAAAGUUCGAGGUUAUGUCGUAAACAAUUUGUGGAAUCUGACUAUGAAAACAUUAGUAAAUACACAGGUGUCAAACAUUAACAUAAAUAUCUGAAGAAAGGUGCUGUACCAUCUAUAUUUUCAUGGAAUAUGAAACCAGUUUCUGAAGAAACAAAAAGUAGAGAAGUUAUGUAAUUUUAGAGAAGGAAUUGUCAAUAAAAAUAAUUAAAAAUA
Long non-coding RNA from Bombyx mori (domestic silkworm), 674 nucleotides. RefSeq lists it as uncharacterized. The record is from RefSeq and is a predicted model, not a curated record. Lineage: Eukaryota; Metazoa; Arthropoda; Insecta; Lepidoptera; Bombycidae. The transcript has 2 exons.